Molecule: long non-coding RNA, 526 nt
Organism: Lutra lutra (Eurasian river otter)
Lineage: Eukaryota; Metazoa; Chordata; Mammalia; Carnivora; Mustelidae
Exons: 5
Source: RefSeq, a predicted model, not a curated record
UUAAUGGAAGGAAACAUCAUGCCCUUUUGAUGGCGACAAGUGGGACCCUGGGUGUCUGACUGGGAACAGGUGUGGCUGUUUCUCGGCCCCAGAGGUAACUUUGAACAAGCUAGUGGAUUUUCCCUUGAAGGCUGGUAUUCUUGGAGAGCAGCGCCUGUCUCCCGACAGGGCUCUGGAGCCGGGAGCCGUGGCCCAGGGCUCUGUGCCGGGCAGUCUCAUGGACACUGGGUUCACCACCGCAAGGAAGCCGGGAGAGCAUCUUUCCAGGGAAACGAGGUCUGGAGACCGGCCCCCAGCGUGAGAUGAAGAAGCGGCCCCAAACUCCGGACUGAAGAGAGCUCAUGGGCGCUGGCAUUUCGAAGGUUUAUUGGUGCCCUUCUGUCUAAUUGAAUAUCAAGAUGAGAAACCGAGGCAGAGAGGGAAGAAAGGUUGAUGAAGGAGCCACCAGUGAGUCAUCGUCUCGGGCUACAACGUGAAGAUUUUUAGAAGAAAAGCCAGUGGGCUCCCAGUCAAAGUUAAAAAGGUA